UUCAGGUAUAGGUGGGGUACGGCCCACCUAGCCUACGACGGGUACGGGCCCUGAGAGGGGGAGCCCGGAGAUGGGCACUGAGACAAGGGUCUAGGCCCUAAGGGGCGCAGCAGGCGCGAAGAUUCCGCAAUGCCCGAAAGGGCGACGGAGUGAACCCGAGUGCCACCCGCUGAGGGUGGCUGUUCCCCUGUGUAAAAAGCAGGGGGCAGGAAGGGGAGGGCAAGGCUGGUGGCAGCCGCCGCGGUAAAACCAGCUCCCCGAGGGGUUCCCACGCAUACUGGGCCUAAAGCGUCCGUAGCCGGCCCUGUAAGUCUGCAGUUAAAUCCGCCUGUAGACAGGCGGGUUGCUGCAGAUACUGCAGGGCUAGGGAGCGGGAGGAGCCGGGGGUAUUCCCGGGGGAGCGGUAAAAUGCGUAGAUCCCGGGAGGACCACCAGUGGCGAAGGCGCCCGGCUUGAACGCGUCCGACGGUGAGGGACGAAAGCUGGGGGAGCAAACCGGAUUAGAUACCCGGGUAGUCCCAGCCGUAAACGAUGCCGGCUAGGUGCUGGCCAAGGUUUCGGCCUUGGCCAGUGUCGAAGCGAAGGCAUUAAGCCGGCCGCCUGAGGAGUACGGCCGCAAGGCUGAAACUUGAAGGAAUUGACGGGGGGGCACCACAAGGGGUGAAUGCCUGCGGCUUAAUUGGACUCAACGCCGGGAAUCUUACCGGGGGCGACAGCAGGAUGAAGGUCAGGCUGAAGACCUUACCAGACGCGCUGAGGGGUGGUGCAUGGCCGUCGCCAGCUCGUGCCGUGAGGUGUCCUGUUAAGUCAGGCAACGAGCGAGACCCCCGCCCCUAGUUGCCAGCGGCCUCCUUCGGGAGGGACCGGGCAAACUAGGGGGACCGCCUCCGAAGAGGAGGAGGAAGGUGGGGGCUACGGCAGGUCAGUAUGCUCCUAAUCCCCCGGGCCGCACGCGGGCUGCAAUGGGCGGGACAGCGGGAUG
RNAcentral lists this ribosomal RNA (982 nucleotides) under uncultured korarchaeote. RNAcentral describes it as "bacterial SSU rRNA". It matches the Rfam family "Archaeal small subunit ribosomal RNA", at positions 224 to 1205 of the family's 1478-position model. Lineage: Archaea; Thermoproteati; Thermoproteota. The record is from RNAcentral.